Molecule: long non-coding RNA, 690 nt
Filed under: Homo sapiens (human)
Lineage: Eukaryota; Metazoa; Chordata; Mammalia; Primates; Hominidae
Description: HSALNT0119425
Source: RNAcentral
UUUAGUAAGUCUUUGUGAGGUUUGAAUGGCAUAACUUACGUAAACAGCUGGCGCCCAGUAGUUGUCCCUUGAAUUAAUUGCUCUGCCCCCUGGCUUUGAGGUGCCUUUCUCUGCACUAGCUGCAGUGGGAGUGGCAACAGCUCACUGGAACAGUCCGCAGGAGAGAAGGUGCCUUUAAAAUCAGAUGCAAAAACCAGCCAGACAAAUAAUAGUGGAUUUAUGGCUCAUUAUUUUUGAAUUUGCCCUUUGUGUACCUUUACACCAGUAGUGAAGAUAAUGGAGUCAGAGAACAGUAAACUUUUUUGAAGCUCAGUGUAUGUACUUUAAAAUUCGCAAAUUAUAUACAUGCAGCUUCAUGAAUUUUCAAAGUGAAUGUAUCCAUGAAACCAGUGCCCAAAUCAAGAAAUGGAAUGCCUUUUUGAAGUUUGAGGCCGGGCGCGGUGGCUCACGCCUGUAAACCGAGCACUUUGGGAGGCCGAGGCGGGCGGAUCACGAGGUCAGGGAUCGAGACCAUCCUGGCUAACACGGUGAAACUCCGUCUCUACUAAAAAUACAAAAAAAUUAGCCUGGCAUGGUAGCGGGCGCCUGUAGUCCCAGCUACUCGUGAGGCUGAGGCAGGAGAAUGGCGUGAACCUGGGAGGCGGAGCUUGCAGUGAGCCGAGAUCACACCACUGCACACCAGUCUAGGUG